RNAcentral lists this ribosomal RNA (329 nucleotides) under uncultured eukaryote. Its description in RNAcentral is "partial 18S ribosomal RNA". It matches the Rfam family "Eukaryotic small subunit ribosomal RNA", at positions 1470 to 1796 of the family's 1831-position model. The record is from RNAcentral.
CCCUUAGAUGUUCUGGGCCGCACGCGCGCUACAAUGAUGAAUUCAACGAGUUUAUAACCUUGGUUGAAAAGCCUGGGUAAUCUUUUGAACUUUCGUCGUGAUGGGGCUAGACCCUUGCAAUUAUUGGUCUCCAACGAGGAAUUCCUAGUAAACGCAAGUCAUCAGCUUGCAUUGAUUACGUCCCUGCCCUUUGUACGCACCGCCCGUCGCACCUACCGAUUGAAUGGUCCGGUGAAAUCUUCGGAUUGAGACUUUGUUUUCUUCACGGAAAACGCUGUUUUAAAAAGUUGAUUAAACCUUACCAUUUAGAGGAAGGUGAAGUCGUAACA